UACGUAGGGGGCUAGCGUUGUCCGGAAUCAUUGGGCGUAAAGCGCGUGUAGGCGGCCCGGUAAGUCCGCUGUGAAAGUCGGGGGCUCAACCCUCGGAUGCCGGUGGAUACUGUCGGGCUAGAGUACGGAAGAGGCGAGUGGAAUUCCUGGUGUAGCGGUGAAAUGCGCAGAUAUCGGGAGGAACACCCGUAGCGAAGGCGGCACUCUGGGCCGGAACUGACGCUGAGGAGCGAAAGCGUGGGGAGCAAACAGG
This 253-nucleotide ribosomal RNA is filed under the name uncultured bacterium. RNAcentral's name for it is "partial 16S ribosomal RNA". It matches the Rfam family "Bacterial small subunit ribosomal RNA", at positions 524 to 776 of the family's 1533-position model. The record is from RNAcentral.